RNAcentral lists this ribosomal RNA (253 nucleotides) under uncultured bacterium. Its description in RNAcentral is "partial 16S ribosomal RNA". It matches the Rfam family "Bacterial small subunit ribosomal RNA", at positions 524 to 776 of the family's 1533-position model. The record is from RNAcentral.
UACGUAGGGAGCAAGCGUUGUCCGGAAUCAUUGGGCGUAAAGCGCGCGUAGGCGGCCCUGUAAGUCCGCUGUGAAAGUCAAAGGCUCAACCUUUGAAAGCCGGUGGAUACUGCAGGGCUAGAGUCCGGAAGAGGCGAGUGGAAUUCCUGGUGUAGCGGUGAAAUGCGCAGAUAUCAGGAGGAACACCGGUGGCGAAGGCGGGUCUCUGGGCCGAAACUGACGCUGAGGAGCGAAAGCGUGGGGAGCAAACAGG